This 253-nucleotide ribosomal RNA is filed under the name uncultured bacterium. Its description in RNAcentral is "partial 16S ribosomal RNA". It matches the Rfam family "Bacterial small subunit ribosomal RNA", at positions 524 to 776 of the family's 1533-position model. The record is from RNAcentral.
UACAGAGGGUGCGAGCGUUAAUCGGAAUUACUGGGCGUAAAGCGUGCGUAGGCGGCCUGUUAAGUCGAACGUGAAAUCCCCGGGCUCAACCCGGGAACUGCGUCCGAUACUGGCAGGCUUGAAUCCGGGAGAGGGAUGCGGAAUUCCAGGUGUAGCGGUGAAAUGCGUAGAUAUCUGGAGGAACACCGGUGGCGAAGGCGGCUUGCUGGACCUGGUCUGACGCUGAGGCGCGAAAGCGUGGGGAGCGAACAGG